This 1640-nucleotide long non-coding RNA is filed under the name Homo sapiens (human). RNAcentral describes it as "HSALNT0303075". The record is from RNAcentral. Lineage: Eukaryota; Metazoa; Chordata; Mammalia; Primates; Hominidae.
AUUACCAUUAGCAGUUGAAGUGGUAGGAAAUUUUUACAUAGGAGAGUAUGGUGAUCAUAUUUGCAUUUUAGAAAAUAAUGGAUAGCAGUUUGUUAGGGGAACAAAGGACAGAGACAGGGAGACUAUUUAAAACAUUAAUAAAAAAUACCAGUGACAGAUGAUGAGGCACCUACCUGAUGGGAAUGGAGAAGAGGAGAUGGAUUCAGAAACUACUUAGGAGAGGCAGGCAGUCCAAGGCUGAUGCCCAAAGAAGCCAUCAAGACCCGUGCUACUUCCAGCUCCUUCUGUCCUCAUAAUCAUAGAUGAUUGCUCCACAUCCAGCACCUAACACCAGUACUCAGUUAAAUUUUUUGCUGAAUAAAUCAAUGAAUGGAGAGGUAAAGAGGAACCAGAAGUUGGGGUUACAGAAGUCACUGAUGGAAGAGUUUCAAGAUAGUAGAAGUGGUCAGCCCUGUUAAGUGACAAGCCAAGGACUGAAGAAAGACUGGCAGAUUUGGCAAUCAGAUGAAGUGACCUGACCAAAGAGCAGCUUGUGUGAAGUAGUGAGGACAGGCGCUGGUCUGCGACUGGUUUAGGAGGAAAUGGAAAUGAAGAAGAAGAGAUAGGAAAGUGGAGAUUAUAUGAUGACAAGUAUCAAGAUAAAAAUGAACACAUUUGGCCUGCUACCUGAAUUUUUUAAAUCGGCUCACCAAAAAAUAUCAGGCUUAUUGAAAUAUUGGAAUAUCUGAUGAAGUUUCCUCUUAUCUUUGAGCUGUUUGGGUUUGGGUAAAAUUUCAAUGCUUAAAAUUCACGUCUACAACUAGCAGGCAGAACCUUAAAGUCCAGAACCAUUAAAGGGUUUAAUAAUGGUGAGGCAUAUGAUGAUGCUGAUGAUGAUAAUGUUUCUUUCUUUCUUUUGUGAUCUUAAUCACUGUGUGAUCUUAACUAGUUUGAAAUGAGAAUUUCAAUGGAGACAGUAGUGUAAAUUUACCAACAGAACAAUUACAGUCGUGACAAAACAAAAACUAUACAAGCAUAUUUUUGUUCAUUCUAUAAAUUUGUACUGAGUACUUUAUAUACACUAGGCAUUCUGACAGAUAUAAUUAUGUGGGUAUAAAAUUUAGUUUAUUUGAUAGUUGCUUUCCCCACCGCCUCCAGAAAUUCUUGAUUUAGUUGGUAAAGAAAAUCAGUUAAGCAAAUAAGUUCACUAUUUGUAGAAGUGUAGAUGGGUUAUGGUGGGGGCACAAAAUAAUAAAAUAAUGUAUUUAAAACUAUUUUCACAUCUGUGAAAAGCUCUAUACAUCUGUGGCAUUAAGACUAAAGAGAAUGGUAUCAAGUCAUAGCUGCUUUCUAGAAAACAUGCAUGAGACAUUUAGGACCUCUGCAUAUUACCACUGAGUUGUUUUUCUUUUAAGGGGCUACAAAGGAGUAUGUUCAGCAUGAUCUUAUUUUUAUUAAAAUUAUACUUUCUAUACAGAAAAAGACUAUAAAAAUACACACUUAAAACAUUAGCAGUGACCCACAGCUAGUAUCAUACUGAAUGGGGAAUAACUAAAAGCCUUUUCUCCAUGAUCUAGAACACAACAAAAAUGCCCAUUUUUACCACUAUUAUUCAACUUAGUACUGGAAGUUCUAGCUAGGGCAAUCAGACACGAGAAUGA